RNAcentral lists this long non-coding RNA (565 nucleotides) under Danio rerio (zebrafish). Its description in RNAcentral is "lncRNA (ENSDARG00000097097.2)". Lineage: Eukaryota; Metazoa; Chordata; Actinopteri; Cypriniformes; Danionidae. The record is from RNAcentral.
GGACUGUCUCGUACAUGCGUCUCGCCACUUUAGGCUGGCGUUUGGCUCUACUCUGACCUUGGUAAGAGAGGUACGCUGACUGUUUGGAGCUGCUGUAAAGGGAUCUCAGAGCCAAGAACCGCCUCCUCUUUCCAGCAUUGUGGGUCUUGUUUAUCUGAAGUUUGUGACCUCAUAUAACAUAACUGUGAAGACCAGCAUCCAUUGUGGCAGCCUCUUGUCUGCUGGUCGCUCCAUCUGUCACUCAUCUUUUCACCCCGUCUUCCCUCCCUCAUCAAACCCUUACCCGGCCCAGCCCAUGACAGCAGCGUUGCCAGCAUGGCAUUCUCAUCACGCUUUUCCUUCUGGGAGCAAAAGAUCAAAGAAGAGAACAAGCCAAUCCCCAAGGGCUCAAAAGACAAUUCUGACAGUGAUGGCAGCCUGAGUAGCCGCUCCCAGUCAGUGCCCAGCCUAGAGCCUGGCAAAGGCCUUCUGCGUACCAAGAGUCCUCAGCCUGUUCAGGACAAGCCAGCAGAGGUCCAGUCCCAGCCUCAGUUCAGACGUGUUAAAAGCCCCUCACCCAACAGAG